This is a long non-coding RNA of Drosophila eugracilis, 14219 nucleotides long. RefSeq lists it as uncharacterized. Lineage: Eukaryota; Metazoa; Arthropoda; Insecta; Diptera; Drosophilidae. The record is from RefSeq and is a predicted model, not a curated record. The transcript has 2 exons.
AACUGCAAGUACAUGCCAAGGAAGGGAAUACAGGGGGUGUGGAAGGGAAGAACGGGUCAGAGGGAGACGUCGAUAGAGAAGGCGAGUGAGAAAGCGAAAGGGGAUCAGAGAUGAGGUACACCUAAGUAUGUGUGUGUUACUGCGAGAGAGCUGCUUACUUGCACUUACACCACCGCAACUGCAUACUGCGCUCUCUGCUCGCUUUAUUACAUAACAUCCUUGAACUUGAGCUGAGCUUGCCAGAGUUUCCUUUUUUUUUUCCAAAUGAUAUACACAUACAUAUGUAUAUUUGUGCAUAUUCUAUGUUCUGGCAGUGGGACGCUACUCAGCUCCUUUCACCACAUAUGUACGAAGAUAUAUGUAUAUGUAGCUUUCUUCUGCCUGUGGGCCCCACAUUCUUCCCUUUUCUCUGUACUGGCUCGUUUCUUCUCUCUUCGCAUCGGAAGCUUUCGGGCUUUUUAGCAGCGACAACGACGGCUCUGCCAUUUUCUGCUGGGCUGCACGUUGGCAUUGAAAGUGCGGCAGGCGAGCUGCCAACAACGCUCCAUUCCCAGCAAAUUCCCAAAUCGCAACCAGAAGAAUUCUAAAAAAAAAAACAACAACAACAAAAAUACCUUUAAAAAAAAGCCAGCAAACAAUUCCUCUAUUAUUCGUUACAAAUUAGACACGCAAAUGACAUCAACAGCCAAAUUGAGUUUGUCAAAACCAACCCACUCGCCAUACCAAAGCAAAUAACAAUGCAAAAUAAUUGCAAACUAAUUGUGUUCAAUUCUACGAGAAGUGCUUGUCAAAAAAAAUAAUAAAAACAAACACAAAAAUGUUAAUUAUGACCAAAAAUAAUUGAAAUCAUUCUAAAGUGCAUUCUACAAUGAGCUAUGAAAAUCAAGGAAAUGAAAAACGAGAGAUAGAGAUUUCAGAGAGUGCAAAUGCAUUUCACAACUAUUUUAAAUACGCGCUUAGAAACAAGUGAGUUCUUAUAUAAAGAAACUAAAAUUUAUAAACAAAAUAUUAAGAAUUAAGUGAAAAUUUAAAAGAAAAACUGAAUAUCUAAGAGAGAGGGAGAGAAUUGGAAAUCCAAUGGGAUCUCAUUAAAGGUGAGUCCACAAUAUUUGUUAUCUACUUAAAAAUACUUGCAAGAUUUCGUCAUCUAAACUUUGGGGAAAUUGGCAAUUUGCAAUACUAUUUCUAGGUUGUUAGAUACAAUUAUUAAUUAAUAAAAACUUUAAAAAUUUGUCUUCCUUAAUUUCGUGAAUAACUACCUAAGAAACAUACUUGAGUUCUAAUUCUUAAAACCUUCUUUAAAAUAUUGAUUCAUUUCCUUUGUCCCAUCAAAUCAAAAAACCUAAUUAAAAAUGUCAAUGUAUGCAUUUUCGUAUCCUUAGCUUAAGCUUUCAAAGCUCCUUGAAGCUUUUUUGUUUGCUAGGAUCAAGGGAUGAGGAUCUCGUUAACCCCUGAAAUUGUUUUUCAACGCUUUUGUUUUGUUUUGCUUUGGCUAGAAAAAGGCGUCGUAAUAAAAACAGGAAUCCGCAAAAAGCAAAAGUGAGUUGCAAACACACAGAUAAAAGUGCGCAGAUACAUGGAUACAUUUUAGGGAUGAGAAAGGGGAGGAGAAUAAUGAAUGAAAGAAUGGUAAAGAGAGAGAGAGAGAGCAAGCUAGCGAGAGUGAGCCAGUUUGAAGGCCAUUGCGGAGAGAGUCACAUGUGCUUUUCGGGUUUUCGAGAGGUGUGUGGGGCAGUAGGGCAAAAGUGGAAGAGAAGACUGCCCGAAAAGCAGGCCCAAGAAACAGGAACAGGAAGAAUCGACAAAACUUGACGAAAGAUAGAGAGCACCAACAAGAGCGAGAGAAAGAGAGAGCGAGAGAUUAGAAGUAUUCACCAGUAGAUAGAAACUCUGCCAGAGUCAACGCCAGCAGAGGCAGCGCUGCGGCAGAGGCGAGAACUUUCCAUGGCAGACAAAAAAGCGGCGACAUUGAACAGCGGCACCUUCAACCGAUCGCAUUUGUUGCCUUUCGAGUCAAGCUAAUAAAUAAUUCAUAAUAUAAUAAAUACAAUACAAAAUCCUUAAAAAUUAUUCCAAAAAAAUGUUAUUAAGUUCGUCAAAGGAUUAAAACUUAUUUUCGCCUUAAAAAGCCUUACUAAAAACCGUUUUUCUCCGUGCGGAAAAUCAAACAAAGUGCAUGUUAGAAAACGUAUCGAAAAAGUAUCGGCAAACACAAGCAAAGAAAAAAGAAAUGUGGCAGAAAGCAGCAGAAUGGUGGUGAGCUGCGUCAGCAUGGAAAUUUAAUUAGCGACAGUUCAGUUCAGCUGAGCAGCGUUUGGUUGAAGAAGAUUGGACUGCCCAUUGUCCUCACCCCCUUGCAAAAUACCACCCACCAAAGGAGAAGAAGAAAAGUGGGUUGAGGAGAUUUCGUUGAUUUUUGCAUGACGACAGCAAAAAGCGAAAAGGCGGAAACAACAAUCGAAAUGCAACUGCACAAGUGUGUGGGUGUGUGGGAGCAGGACAGACUAUAUAAUACAGACAUGCGCUCCCUCUCUCUCAGCGACUUGAACUUGAAAACUUUUUACUGCCGGCAAAUUGAAAGAGAGAGAAAGCAGAGGAGAAGGAGGAAGAGCGAGCAGCAGCAGAGAGAGCGCUCAGCAGGUAUGUGUAUGUGAAUGUUAUCCAUUGAUUAAGUUAAACAAAAACAAAAUCAGAACAGAGCGCAAGCUUUGCUCUCGCAGCUUUUGUUUUAUUUAUCGCGCCAUAGAGAGCGAAAGCGAGAGCGUAGCUUUUGCGUGGGCGGCUUAAAGCAGCGCCGUCGACGUCGCUGCCGACGUCUGCCAACUGUUUGCUGUUUUGUUGUAGGCACAUACUGUUGCAUACUUAAGGGGAUAGGAGGAUACGUGGGGCGAAAAUCGAAUGAAAACGUCAGGCUGGAAAGUGAAGUGAAAAGCGGGAAAAGUGGAACCAAGGAGUGGGAAAGAGUGGGGGUGGCGUGACCUCCACCUGUGCGAGCCCAGCUGCAGCUUCCCUGCUGGCCAAGUGUUUAUUCGGUGACUGGCGGGCGACCGAUGAGGUCAGCAUCACGCAUACGCCUAGUUAUCCCCCAUAUCCUGUUCAGUGUGUUAGUAUUAGUGUGUUUUUGUGCUUGCGAUUCGUUCCAAGUUCAUUUUAAAGGCGCGUCACCCAAAUAGCAAAAUCAGGUGUGGAGAAUUGAUUAGUACGGCAAAAAAAAUGAAAAACAAAAUGGUAGAAAAAUACAAACAAUAUGGUUGGUAUUUUGCGUAUGUGUGUGUGUGUUGUACUUACAUAAAACUCAACUGAAGUGACGCACGCCAGCAUAUGGCAAUUAAAUUUGAAUAAUUAAGCAGCUGAGAACGACACGAACCGAACUCUCUUCCACACACACACACACGCGCACGCACCCAUAUACCUUUUUGCCAUAUGCAACACUCGUUGUUGUUAUCUUGCACCUUGACCUUUCCACACCCAUGCAGCAGUACGCGUGGGCAGCAGUUGGAUACUUAGAUACACACGCCCCUUUCAGGGGAUCGGAGAGAUAUAUAUACUCGUUUAUAUAGAGCAACCCACAAGUCGGCUGGCAGCUGUUUGGAGCCGAAUCAAAGGAGACGAGAUGCACGCCAAAAACACUUCGGUCAUUCUAUAGAAAAGUGGUCCAUUUGGACCAGCGCAGAGUUUCACAGAUGACACACGGGCCAUAUAUAAAGCAUGCAGACAAGUGCAGGAAAUAACAUAGUUCAAAUAGUGCUGGAUAUAUUUAUGAGUUCCCGUAAAGUUUAUUGAGUUUAUUAUUGCGAUUAGAGUAUGGAAUAUCAAGGAGAUGAGAUACAAAUAAUAGGAAAAAGUAACUUAUUUAUAAGACAAUUUUUAUCUUUUUCUAUAUCAUCACCAGAGAAGAUAAAGUUAAAAAAGGGAUAGAGAAAAAUAAAUUUAACUUUAAUAAAAAUAAUGAUAAUAACGAUAAGGGCUAGGAAGCAAAGAAUAUUUACGAGAUUUCUAUAUUAAAUUAGAUUUUAAAUUCUCAAUGCACUUAGAGUGCCUUUGCAUCGGAUUGCGAAAUUAAAAUAGAACUUACUCACAAAGCGAAUUAGUUAAGGCAGUUUAAAAGAUACUUACAAAAACGACAUAAACGGUAAAUCGUGCUUAACUUUAAACUAAAAGUCUCUUUAAUUGCAUAAACCAACAUUUUGCAAAUUUUAAGAAAAAGUCAGUUUAAAUUUUUGACGGGAACAGUGAAAAAAGUGACCAAAAAUUAAACCAAAAAAUGUAAAAAUUAAAAUAAAAAGUAUACUUAAAAAUAAAUCAACUUUAAAAACGUAUAUUAUACAAGUGCAGCUAAAGAAAACUCUUGUGAAAACUUCAUCUUGGCAACUUAGCAAGAAAAGCAAGAAAAGUGGUUUGUGUCUCUGCUGAGCUUUUGACGAAAAGCAAAAUUUUCAUAUGCAUCUGCCAUUGGGAUACACCCUGUGCUCGCUUUGAAUGAAUUGCAAGCAAGUGAACACAGCUGGUGGUAUCCAUUGGCCGUUCUUGCAUCCUUGCAGCUCCAUUAACUCCAAGGAUAAACCAUAGAGAACUUUCAGCUUAAAGGUAAGUUCAUGUUCAGAUCUACCAAGUUUCCUACUCAGGAUAAUACCAUUUGUUUUGCAAGUCCAAUUUAUCAAUAAUUUUCAUUUCGUUUAAUUGUUUCUUACAUUCCGUUACAAACCUAAUUUUGCCAUACUAAAAAAAAAAUGGGAGAUUUUCUCUUAGCCAUAAGCUUCAGUUCGAUUCAACAAACUAUUCAUUUUCUACCCAAAAAGAAAAAAGAAAACAAUGAAAAGAAAGAUAAAUUGGAAUUUGAAUAAAAUAAUCUUAAGACUUAAGAAUCGUUUAAGAAAAUAAUCAGUGAGAAGACAAAAAUUGCAUAUUAGAUUAUAUUCAGCAUUUUCUUGUUACACACACAUUCAGAAUGUUUAUAAUUUGGCUUUUCGGUUUCGGCUUCUCUUUAAGUUUUCCGCUUUGCUCCGAAUUAACUUUUUUCUUUUUCAAAUUCAAAAUGCAUUUGUAUUUCUCCCAACGCCAGACGCACAUUUCGAGGGGCCUUUGAGGUGCGAUAAUGGGCGCAUCAAAUGCAACGCUCUGAAAACUCUGCAAAUCAUUAAUUAUGGCCCGCACGAAAAGCAAACCGUCCGUAGUAAUGAGUGAAAUUUUGAUCAGCUUUAGAAAUCGCUGGCAUAAACAAUUAAAAACAUCUUCAUGCUGUAAAUUGAUUUUGUUUCUCUGUGAUUUUUAUCUACCUACUAUAUAUAUAUAUAUAUAUAUAUAUAUUGUGUAUAUGUUUAGUUUUUCGCCUGAUUUUUCAGUUUUCACCCAGUCGCGUGCAUUUUGGUAGCAAAACGAAAGCAAAGCCAUUUGGCAUUUUCUAUUUUCGUUUCGGUUCGGCUUUUUGGCUCAAAAAAAAAAAAACGGCACUCGACCAACUGCCAAUGCAUGGCGAUUCGAAUUGGCCAAGAGUUCUUGGUCCGAACUGCAGCUGUGCGAAAAGGCAACUUGGUGACAUUAUUUCGACAUUUGCCUGCUCGCGGCUGCAGCCACUUUUGUCACUUUUGCAUUUCAAAUGACCGUCAAUUAUCCUUUGUCGACACUCCCCUUUGUCUUUGUCUCUUUCGAUUUUCUAUUUUCCUUUCUUUUUUUCUCUCCUCCCCUGAGGUCAAGGAAAACGAAAUUGAUUUUCUGCCCGAGCGGGUUUUUCUUUCCUUUACCACCCCACCUAUAUAGUAUAUGGGAACGUGUGCAUUUAAGAGUCUUUCUCUUCGUGUUUCUUAUGCAAUCUCGUUGUUCUGUCACUGUCAUGAUUUUCUGUUCUUAUUUUUCGCAGUUUGAAUUUUCAAAUUGCAGUGUAGAAAUCAAUUUUGCUCUCGGGGCUAACCGAAACAAUUAACUGGUGGGUAAUUAAAGAUAUCACCAGACUGUGCAUUAAGCUUGCCCGACGCAGUCUCGCCUUUCGGUGACCUCAUGACAAGUUUUAUGAUGAAAUUAACUGCGAUUGAAGUGCUCGCAUAUAAAACGCCAUCAAAUUCAAUAAAAACUCGCACUCAAAUAAUAGACAAUGGCUAAGCGCUGGGGCUUACGCAAUCGAGGGAUAUAGAAAUCAAGUUUAGGUUGUUUUAACGUCGGAAAUAACAAGUUGAUGGCCAACAAAUUAAAUCAUUAAUCGUUAGAGGGGACUAUUAUAGUUAAAUACACUUUUUUAUUAAGUCAUCAUAUCGAUCUAUUCAAAUUGAUCUGUGGAUGAGGUGAAUACAAAAAUUUUAGAAGGGUUUAAUUUGAUUAACUAAAAGUUGAGUUAGCAAAAGGUUAACUUAAUAUUUGGGGAUUCAUAUUUGGGACUUUAUGGAAAUAAUUUAAUUUUCCAACUCAUGAAAAUCAUUGAUUCUGUUUAAUCUAAUCGAAGUUUAUCGAUAUAUUAUUAGGAACCUUAUUAUUAAAUUAACUUUUAAAGUUAUCGAUAGGAUAUAAUCAUUAUCUAUUAGGUAGAAAAAUGAACUAGACAAUUUCUUCAGAUGUUAAAAGCAAAUAUUUUGACAUCUUCAAAGAAACUCUUUUCCCAGGCAUCAAACUGCUUAAGUUUUCCCCAAGUUUGUCAUGACUUCGAAUAGCCCAUAAACUAUUUCAUUGACUUAAAACAUCUGUCAGCGCACUUGCCAUCAUUUAACGCCCAAGAUCGUGUGCUAGUAGCACUCGUUUUAUCGAAAUAAUAUUAUAAUGACAGUAAGGAGCAAUAAUCACACGAAAUGCAUCAGGUCGUGCAUGACGAGAUUAACAAUACCGAUACCAGCUGUUGGCCUCAAGCGGAACAAUCGCGUUGGGAAAGCGGAAUUUUCAAUUUAAGGUUGACCUUAGAACAAAAUUUGAUCGAUAAUUUCGCAUAAUUGUGGAAUCUCUCUCUCUCGCAAAAAAAAAGAAAAACACAAGAAAAAAAAAAAAACUGUGACACAUGCACACACACACAAAUACAAAACGCACACAGCGAAACAUCACCUUGAACAUUAAACUGCAACUGAGGGAGGGAGAACGAGAUAGUGACAGCCAGUGACAGAGGGAGAAGAAUAGAUAAAGAGAGCUAGAGAUAGGUUUUUGUUUGCGUCAUGUGUGCAACUGCAUGAAGCUUUUGGUUUCCGCUGUGCCUUUGUGUGCGAGUGUGGGAUGAGAGAGCUUUUAACUGAAAGCUUACUCUCUUUGUUUCUCUCUCUCUCUCUCUCUUUUUAAUUUUUUAUCGUCUUAGCUUUUUUUGAACGAGCCGAGCAGCUGACAGUUGCGCUUCAGCAUUAGACCAAAGUAGUUUGACUUUUAAGUUUUUAGCCGCGAAAUCAAAAGUGUCUGUGUGUGCUCGCUGGUGUGUUCGUACGACUGUGUGUGUGUGUGUGUGUUGUGGCAGCUGCAUUUGCAGCGAGAGACAGAAAUACAUUUCGUACAAAAAUUCCGCCCUGCAUUUAGUAUAUUUCACCUUAGAGCGUCUUUGCCACACAACCAAACACUCACACACACGCACAUACACACACACACAAAGUAGCAAAACUAGCGACAGACACACACGUGGCCAUCAAAACGGUAUCGGUUCGCGUCGCGUUUGGCCUAAAAUUGUAACAGUUUUCCUUUUUACAACAACGAACAUAACGAACAAGAAGAAGUAAAGCCAAAAGAAACGCAGCUGCAGUCGACGUCGCUGCCAGCUGCUCGCUGCAAUCGCCGACAUUCGUUUCUGUUUGGCCAAUUGCCGUUGGCCAGCUUCAGUGUUCAUUUCCCCAUCGAAACGGCAACAACGAGCGGAAGUCGCAAAAAACAGAAUAACAAAAGGCAGAGCCAACGGAGCAGUCGAUCGAUCCACACAAGAACAGCUGAUUAAUACUGCACUUAACAUCGUUUCAUAGUGUGAUUUCCCAAAAGCCCUGGAUUGCAUAAACAUAAAUUCCUAUACCCAUAAAAUCCCAAAUAUUUUUUCGGUGGCGUAUACGUAAUAUCAGUUGAAUAGCUGUGCACAUCUGCCAUUGCAAUUGCAAUUCGCUGGGCAUUAUGCAAUGGCACAAACAAAGAGACACCCUGUAAUUGGCAUGGCGAAUAGGCAACAACAAAACAAUGCAUGUGCAUUUACACACACACACACACACGCACACGGGUGUAGUUUUUGUGUGUCUAGUCGGGCAAUUUGUUUAAAACAAUCAGCGGUCUCUCCUCUCAUUCGCACUCAUUGCAGUCACUGAUUUAAAUUUAGUAUCGCUGCAAUGGCUUGUAACCCAAAUUUGAUGCAUCCUUCUCUUUCUCUCUCUUUUCCUCUCCCUCUCUCUGUUGGUUUUUCUCUUAUAUAAGAGAUGCUCAAACAAAAGCAUUAAUUGUGGAAAAUGUUUAACUACUACUGCUAGGCAAUCCCCAUCUUAAUUUCAAUCUCAAUUAAAGCCUGACUUUCGGCGACUUCAAAGGAGGUAGAUAAAAUUCAGGCGAGGGCAAUUAAAUCGGAGGCACUUGCAAUCCGAGAGCAACAACUCACACUCGGCCACUUGACCUUGCACGGUUUCGCCAUGCGAAUAUCACACACACUCACCAUACAGUACGUAUACGUACUGUGGGCCAGAAUGUGUUCGUGUAUAGAGAGGUAACACAGAAAAUUGCAAUAUUUUGUGUAAAAAUAACGAACCGACUUUUACAUAAGGCCAUCGGUACAUAGAGAAAAACACAUAGACACACGCUAACACUCAUCACAAAUCGCCAUUCACCUGUCAUGGUGUGUGAGUGUAGUGUGGGUGGGUGUUAUGAGGUCGAUUUUUGUUGUUUUUGCCCCUACUCAUAGUCAUGUGUGUGUGUGUGUGGGUGGAUGACUGAAAAAUGCAUUUGACACAGAAAACAGGCGUGCAAACACAAACAGAUAUCGCAAGGCAGAUAUUUCCAAAGCCAAAGAAAAUUCACAAACGACAAGAAAACGAAACAACAGCUUAUCUUGGAAAAAUUUCAAUGAUUCAUGGCAAAAAUCCCCUUUUGAUUGAUUUCAUGUCAAGAUGUUAGAGAAAAACCAGUUUAAAGCCAUGACUAAAACUGUCUACAAAAAUUCACAAAAACUUGUUAAAGAUUUUAUGCAAAAUUAACUUAAAAUUAUUUUCAAAUAAUUUAUAAAUUUCAUGUCUGAACUUUGCAGUCUGCUAUAUGUUAUAAACACAGCAAAUUAAAUUUAUAAAUAUACCUUGCAUAUAGCUUGUUUUUUUUUUAUAAACAAUUCCCUCUUGUUAGAUUUGCAUUUGGAUUUUGGACCUUAACUGAUAUCAGCAGCCGGUGGCAGACAGAAGUUGUCAUCGCUAAAACAACCUCUAUAAACAGAUAUCGUUAUGACAUCAUUGUUGGCGGCACUCUGUGAUGGAUCAUUGACUUUAUACACUCAUACCUAUAUAGUCAGUCAGCCUCACUUAUAUCGAUUUAGAGUCCUAAUUUGUCAGUUCACCAGACUAAAAUGAUUAGCACUUGCUGAUAAGCUAGCUUAGUCUAGCAGUUAGUAUUUGUUUGGCAUUUUAAAAGACAAAAAUGAAUCACGUGUUAUAGGCAUUUCAAAAUUUCGAAAUAUAUAUUUUUUUUUGAAUUAAAUAUAUAUAUAUUUAUACUCAUAUAUUGCGAAAUGUUUGGCUAACAGAAGCGACCUUCAGCCCGGACCACAAGGUCGUUCGUUCAUGGGGAGAUGGCAAUGCAGCAGCAGCCUGCAAAACUACUCCGCAUGGAGGUCGAUCUGCCACCCCCCAUCGUUCGCUCUACAGCAGUUAUGUAAAAAGGGAAAUUGGGUCAGUGUUAUGACCUAGUUUUCUUUCAACCCCCUACCCCUUUGAAGGCUAGAAGGGGUAGGGGGAAGUCAAACAAACCCCCUAGCAAGUUGCAGUUUGAUUAGUUUGAAAUGGGCUUUUUGGCACCUCCGAUAAUUACAAUUGGAUGGGCUUCGUGACGCCGCUUAUUGAUUUUUAGUCAAGCCGUCAGGCUUAUACAUAUAUAUAUAUAUAUAUAUAUAUAGUAUAGCCAACCUAGAUAACUUUGGGCUGGCCCAAGAGUAUGGGUAUAUCUAUCGGAUACACGGCACCAUCCAUGGCCUGGCCGCCUGCAGUCGUGAGCUUAGCCAAGGAGCCAAAAAUAAAAAUUCUCUUUGGCUACGAGCCAAAUGCAGUGCACAUUGGAUUGCUUUGGAUACGGGCAAGGGUGUGGAUUGGAGGGCGGUGUUCAUUUGCAGGCGAAAAUGAAAAGUGAAAUGUUGCCAUGCCACAAAGUCUGCAAUAAAGAGAAAAAGUAAAAGCAGGGAAAUUUAUCUAUAUUUAUUUGCCAGAAUGCUGACAUUUAUUAGUUUUGGCCCAUCCAUUGAAUUAAGCCAAAUAGUGCUCUAUAAAUAUGGCUAAACUGCAGUUGGAUGACAAAUUUAUGGCCGACUGCAUAACUCAUCUAUUACCCACUUUUGGACACCCGCCCCGCUUUGCCGUUAACCCUUUUUUGUGUUGCAAAUUCAAUGCACACUUGUAUGUGUCACUCUACUUGCCACUUAUUACACCACCCAGAAGGCUAAAGACACGCCACACGAGACAGUGCUUGAGUAGGCCUAAAGUCUAUAGUCUAUAGCCUGAAACGAUUUGGGUCAACCUGAGCCUGAGCCAACAACGACAACAACAAGCGUUUUUAUUGAUGUCUUUUCAACCAGAAGUCGCAGUUCGUUUGUUGUUCCUUGCAAAACAGUUUAAACUUUGAUGAACUCAGUCGUCAGUUAUUCAAAGAAAGUUUUCCUAAGUAUCUGAAUUAUUUAACUGUGUUGAAAGGAGUUUCCCAGAAAGCAAACAAGCUGAAGAAAGUGUUUCCUAAAGACUUAAGCUUAGGAAACAUUCCAAGAAACUUGCGUAUUUGGUAGUUUUUUUCACAUAUAUAUUUCCUUUUAGUAAAUCUUUUUAGAAAUGACGCCCAUCUGUGUAUUAUUGUUUUGGUCGGACCUUCCCCUAUUUCUCCAUAUACUUUCUAGUUCCUCUUUCAUACGCACAAAGCUCUGAUCUUUAUGAUCUUUCAUUUUUAGGUAUCACGCCUCUAACGCAUGACUCAGUUCGUUUUCUUCAAUUCUUUAAUUUUAGACGAAUACGAAUAUUUGCCAUAAAGCCAAAGCCAAAAAAAAAGAAGAGAAAGAAACGUGUUCGUCAUUAGUUAGCUGCGUCAAUUGCGGGCUCUGUUAUUUAUAAAUGCCGCUGGGGCAGCCACGUAAAUGGUGACGGAAAACGAUAGAGCCUGUUGGAAUUUCUUACUUCCAGCUAAAUGCUAAUCGUGGAUACAACAAAAUUCUUAUCGCUAUGUUGCCAGGCAAACUACGCAAACAGACUAAAAAAUCUGACGAAAAACAGCGAAAAAAAAACGGAAAUCAUUCACAAAAAUUUGUAUAAAAUUUCGACAGUCAGACAGUUAGGGCUCUGUUUUGCCUUUUAGAAUUGUCUGGCUGAGUUUUUGUUGUUGUUUCCCGUCUGCAGAUAAAGAAUCGAAUAGCAAACAUUCCGAGUCUGUGAUUACGUAUACGCAGCGUUCGCCGAGCGAUAGGUUUUUCCUCCUUUUGCGGGUGCGCGUGUGAUUUUCAGCCUACGAAAUUUCAUGAAUUCGUAUCUGUUUCUGAGUCAGUCGAGUGUGUAUUUAGCAGAUAAUAAGUGCCAGAGUUAGUGUGCGUGUUUUUCUGUUGGUGCGGCUGAUCAUGCGACCCACGGAAUAAAAAGAGGAAGGGGAAGGUUCUCUCUCUUUCUGAUACUCUACGUGGGGGUACUCCGAUUUUGAUAGUUCGUUUGUUACUUAAAAGAAAUAUGAAUUAUCCGCUUGCUGAGAGACCCUCUUGGAAUGUAAUUAUUACCAGAUACCAGAAACAAAGUUGGAAACCCUAUUAUUUUUCCCACCUCAGCUUGCUAGCUUCAUAUUUCACAGUAUUCUUCUAGCUCUUGCAAUUCUUUUUUGGCCAAGCCAAACAGUAAUUUAUUUAAGUAACGUUAUGGCCCUCCACUUCGGUUUGGUAACACUUCGGGUCACUUCCGGUGACGACAACUUCUUUGAAACUCUCUGUUGGCUGGCAGUGGCAGCUUUUAUGACCCAGAUAAAAGUAAACGUGUUGGUCAACGCAAUGUUAUGGAAAAGAGAGGGGCAACCCGGAGGAGGCACUGAAAAACUGGGUAUCCAAGGGGCCAUCGGUUCAUGAAGUGCUAAUGAAAAAUGCUCAGCAUUUGCCUAAUGAAAUUAUAACUGAGCCACUAAGUGGGCCAUAAAGAGGAGCAAAGAGAGACCCAGUAGAAUUAGGGGGUGAGAAGAAGGUGUUUUCGGGGCAUUUUAGAAAUUUUUCAUUCAGCUAGCAGGUCGACCAUCGACCAUGUAACCCAUUUAACGCACAUGGAAACGAACAGCGGUUUGACAGGCGGCGGCACCAGCAGCACAUGGAAGCACAAUUUUGUUUCUUUAUUCAGUUAACGCUUUUUAAGCUCAUGAGCUAGCUUUUCAUUUAUCAAUACACACAUUUGCUCGCACAUAGCGACACAAAUGAACAAUAAUUUAUUUAAUUGCCCGAGCUCUUGUUCUUUCGAAAUUAGAACACACAGCCACUAAUACACUCACUGUUUACUGGCACGCGAUUAAAAACUAAAUGGUUACACACAUAUUAUGAAUUUUACAAGCUAAAACAGUUUAUUAUCUGCCAGAUAUUCUAUAUGUUUAUGUGUCUAUGUGUGUGUGAGUGCAUAUAGAUGACACAUAGCGUAUACGCAGUGUGUUUUUUCUCUUUUUCUUAAUUGCGAAAAUGUUGUUUUUCGUGCUUUGUUGCCCCACUCAAGAUUCGUUGGUUAUGGAUUUGAUUCUACAAUUAUUGUUAGCAUUGGUCUUGUUCCUCCACUUCUUGCCGUUUGUUUGUUGGCUUACUGAUUCGGUCCCAAUGGCCAAUACCCAAUGCUCAAUGUUUUGGCCUCGUUUUUGGAUUUAUUUUCCGUUUAUGCGCCACACCUCGAGAGUCAAGUAAAGAGGCAGCCAAGCAAGUCGAAAUUGAAGGCUGCCUGCAUUGGCCAAACUGCGCCCCUUUUUGCCAGAAUUGAAAUGAAUCUCUGCUCCAGAAAACAUUGGGAACUUGCCUUUUCGAUUUGAUAUUUUAGUUUAGGCCGUUUUUGAGUACAUAUUACACAAAUUCAGCAAUGGAUUACUUUUCUUGAGCAAUCAUUUUAUAAUCGCCCUGCUUAUCUUAUCGCCCCCAAACUAUUCGAAUGUGGACUGCCAAAGGGCAUACCAUUCAGUUUCCGCCCAGCUUUAACCAGCUUACAAUCCACUGACUGAUGGGCCAGAACCAUAUAUAAGUUGAAAGGAAAAUAAGACUCAGGUCGAAUGACAUUUGGUGACACACAAACGACUUGUAUAACCGAUCGGCGAUCGGCAAUCAGCGAUCCACAUCGACCCACUUUGUAUAGGCACAUACACACCCCUCGAGACCCACCUAAAUAUAUAUACAUAUAUAUCGCUUCGAUCCGCUGGUUAUACUAUACAUAAUCACUAUCAGCUGCGCACCUUGGCACCUGCGACUGCUUAUCACCUGUUCAGUGAGCAUUGGGGGAUCGGGUCCCCAGCUCAUGGUUCAUUGUACCCGGUUUUCCAGUCUCAUUCCCAUUUCCACUUCACUUUUGUUCUGCAUGCUUUUGAGCUAUGUUUUUGGAGUUUCCUUUUUUGGUUCAGUUCUCUUUUUCCAAUUAACCAAUAAAAGCCACCAGAAGAUCGAUUGACUGCCCCACCAAAAACAAAAAUAAAAAGAAACGCGACGCCGCGCCGUGCUGAACAUAAUUUUGUUUGUUUUGUUUCAGUUUUAAAUAUGUAUAUAUAUAUAUAUGAUGUAUAAACGAUAAUAAUAAUGGGCAUAAAUGCAUCCUUAAAAAAGUUUUGGGCUGCGUGUCAGGAGUGCAUUUGCACUGAAACAUUCUGAAGCAUGUAAAUGCACUAUCUGGUACGACAUUCCAGAACGUACAAUCUUCCCGAAUGCAAGAAAAUGCGAAUAAUAAUGAAAAUAUGCAAUUUUUGUGAUAGUGUGUUAAAACAUAAUUCUCAAAACUGAUUAUCUUAACUAAAUAGUUAUAAAUAAGUUUACUUUUUAAUCUUAAAUAUAUGUAAGAAACUGUUUUUAAAUAAAGAAAAAUAUAAUAAAAAAAAAUAUAUGAUUAUCUUCUAUGAAGAAUUUUGUAAAAGUA